Molecule: ribosomal RNA, 459 nt
Filed under: uncultured bacterium
Lineage: Bacteria
Description: partial 16S ribosomal RNA
Rfam family: Bacterial small subunit ribosomal RNA
Source: RNAcentral
ACUACGGGAGGCAGCAGUGAGGAAUAUUGGUCAAUGGGCGGAAGCCUGAACCAGCCAAGCAGCGUGCGGGAUGAAGGCCCUACGGGUCGUAAACCGCUUUUGCACGGGGAUAACACCCUCCACUUGUUGAGGUCUGCAGGUACCGUGCGAAUAAGGGCCGGCUAAUUCCGUACCAGCAGCCGCGGUAAUACGGAAGGCCCGAGCGUUAUCCGGAUUCAUUGGGCUGAAAGGGAGCGUAGGCGGGCGUUCAAGUCAGCUGUAAAAUCGCGCGGCUCAACCGCGCGCCGCAGUUGAAACUGGAAGCCUUGAGUUCACAACAGGCAGGCGGAAGUCGUGGUGUAGCGGUGAAAUGCAUAGAUAUCACGAGGAACCCCGAUUGCGAAGGCAGCCUGCCGGGGUGCGACUGACGCUGAGGCUCGAAGGUGCGGGUAUCAAACAGGAUUAGAUACCCUUGUAGUC